CUAUACAUGCAAGUCGAGCGAAUGGAUUAAGAGCUUGCUCUUAUGAAGUUAGCGGCGGACGGGUGAGUAACACGUGGGUAACCUGCCCAUAAGACUGGGAUAACUCCGGGAAACCGGGGCUAAUACCGGAUAACAUUUUGAACCGCAUGGUUCGAAAUUGAAAGGCGGCUUCGGCUGUCACUUAUGGAUGGACCCGCGUCGCAUUAGCUAGUUGGUGAGGUAACGGCUCACCAAGGCAACGAUGCGUAGCCGACCUGAGAGGGUGAUCGGCCACACUGGGACUGAGACACGGCCCAAACUCCUACGGGAGGCAGCAGUAGGGAAUCUUCCGCAAUGGACGAAAGUCUGACGGAGCAACGCCGCGUGAGUGAUGAAGGCUUUCGGGUCGUAAAACUCUGUUGUUAGGGAAGAACAAGUGCUAGUUGAAUAAGCUGGCACCUUGACGGUACCUAACCAGAAAGCCACGGCUAACUACGUGCCAGCAGCCGCGGUAAUACGUAGGUGGCAAGCGUUAUCCGGAAUUAUUGGGCGUAAAGCGCGCGCAGGUGGUUUCUUAAGUCUGAUGUGAAAGCCCACGGCUCAACCGUGGAGGGUCAUUGGAAACUGGGAGACUUGAGUGCAGAAGAGGAAAGUGGAAUUCCAUGUGUAGCGGUGAAAUGCGUAGAGAUAUGGAGGAACACCAGUGGCGAAGGCGACUUUCUGGUCUGUAACUGACACUGAGGCGCGAAAGCGUGGGGAGCAAACAGGAUUAGAUACCCUGGUAGUCCACGCCGUAAACGAUGAGUGCUAAGUGUUAGA
Molecule: ribosomal RNA, 798 nt
Filed under: Bacillus cereus
Lineage: Bacteria; Bacillati; Bacillota; Bacilli; Caryophanales; Bacillaceae
Description: bacterial SSU rRNA
Rfam family: Bacterial small subunit ribosomal RNA
Source: RNAcentral